Molecule: ribosomal RNA, 497 nt
Filed under: uncultured bacterium
Lineage: Bacteria
Description: partial 16S ribosomal RNA
Rfam family: Bacterial small subunit ribosomal RNA
Source: RNAcentral
GAUGAACGCUGGCGGCGUGCCUAAUACAUGCAAGUCGAGCGAACAGACGCGGCGCUUCCCCCCCCGACCCCACCGCCCGCCCCCCCCGUACCACGUCCCUCACCCCCCUAUCCCCCUCGCAUCACCCCGGCACCCCGGCGCUCCUACCCGCUACUCUCCUCAACCCCACGCUUCCACCGCGACACACGCUCUUGCUCUCCCCUAUCGCUCCCUCCCCGCCGCAUUAGCUAGUUGGUAAGGUAACGCCUUACCAAGGCAACGCUGCGUAGCCGACCUGAGAGGGUGAUCGGCCACACUGGAACUGAGACACGGUCCAGACUCCUACGGGAGGCAGCAGUAGGGAAUCUUCCGCAAUGGGCGAAAGCCUGACGGAGCAACGCCGCGUGAGUGAUGAAGGUCUUCGGAUCGUAAAACUCUGUUAUUAGGGAAGAACAAAUGUGUAAGUAACUAUGCACGUCUUGACGGUACCUAAUCAGAAAGCCACGGCUAACUACGUG